GCGGCCGUAACUAUAACGGUCCUAAGGUAGCGAAAUUCCUUGUCGGGUAAGUUCCGACCCGCACGAAAGGCGUAACGAUUUGGGCACUGUCUCAACGAGAGACUCGGUGAAAUCAUAGUACCUGUGAAGAUGCAGGUUACCCGCGACAGGACGGAAAGACCCCGUGGAGCUUUACUGUAGCCUGAUAUUGAAAUUCGGCACAGCUUGUACAGGAUAGGUAGGAGCCUUUGAAACGUGAGCGCUAGCUUACGUGGAGGCGCUGGUGGGAUACUACCCUAGCUGUGUUGGCUUUCUAACCCGCACCACUUAUCGUGGUGGGAGACAGUGUCAGGCGGGCAGUUUGACUGGGGCGGUCGCCUCCUAAAAGGUAACGGAGGCGCUCAAAGGUUCCCUCAGAAUGGUUGGAAAUCAUUCAUAGAGUGUAAAGGCAUAAGGGAGCUUGACUGCGAGACCUACAAGUCGAGCAGGGUCGAAAGACGGACUUAGUGAUCCGGUGGUUCCGCAUGGAAGGGCCAUCGCUCAACGGAUAAAAGCUACCCCGGGGAUAACAGGCUUAUCUCCCCCAAGAGUUCACAUCGACGGGGAGGUUUGGCACCUCGAUGUCGGCUC
This 609-nucleotide ribosomal RNA is filed under the name Staphylococcus aureus. RNAcentral's name for it is "partial 23S ribosomal RNA". It matches the Rfam family "Bacterial large subunit ribosomal RNA", at positions 1930 to 2538 of the family's 2925-position model. The record is from RNAcentral. Lineage: Bacteria; Bacillati; Bacillota; Bacilli; Caryophanales; Staphylococcaceae.